ACUUCAAGAUAAGAUUUCCCACCGCAAGGGUAAGACCCCAGAAAGACUAUCUGGUUGAUAGGUCGAAGGGGUAAGUGCAGCAAUGUAUUUAGCUUAUCGAUACUAAUAGGUCGAGGACUUGACCAAUAUU
Molecule: ribosomal RNA, 130 nt
Filed under: Clostridioides difficile
Lineage: Bacteria; Bacillati; Bacillota; Clostridia; Peptostreptococcales; Peptostreptococcaceae
Description: partial 23S ribosomal RNA
Rfam family: Bacterial large subunit ribosomal RNA
Source: RNAcentral